This is a long non-coding RNA of Syngnathoides biaculeatus (alligator pipefish), 952 nucleotides long. RefSeq lists it as uncharacterized. The record is from RefSeq and is a predicted model, not a curated record. Lineage: Eukaryota; Metazoa; Chordata; Actinopteri; Syngnathiformes; Syngnathidae. The transcript is spliced from 5 exons.
AAAGUGUGUUAAACCAAACAUGUUAACAGAAUGCUAUUGACAUCAGCAUUUGAUAAGAUUGAAUUUGCACUCCUUAAAGUGGCUGAACGAUGAUUUCACAAGUUACCAGUUCCAAAAUGUUGCUCUUUCUGUGAAAAUAUUAAGGGUGAUGUCAUAAAGACAUGAUGUAGCAAUUAAUCAUGCACUGUUGUCAGUGGCUCAGAAAGGAUGCUUUGAUGCCUGAUGUCCUGCCUGCUGGGGGCAUUUUUGUAUUUUAUUGGGUGUUGCUAUGAUACACUGAUGUAUUCAACAGGCUUGAAGUCUCCCAAUACAAUAAACUUCUGAGCAUCAAAGCACACAGAUUUUAAGAAGACUCUACUUGUGUGACGACGCCUUUCUGCUUUCAAGUUCAUGCUGCAACAUGCCGACGAAUGGGAAUCGCCAUAGAACACACGUAUAACUUCGUCCACGUAGUACCAUAGUCGUGUACUGAAGCCGUUAUCAGAGGUUUGUGGGGGCGCUGGAACCAAUGUCAGCGCACUUGAGGCAAAAGGAUGACAGGUGAAAACAACAUGAGGGGUGAACAGAGGAUUCAACUGGUGACAGCAAACGUGAUGGGAGGACAGCAUAAAGACCGUGGAGGACCCUUUCAAGUCAAAGAUACUUGGAUGUUUCUUCAGAAGUAACUUCAUUCAUAAAUUUACAUGAAGGAAAGCCAUUAAGUAUGGGAUGUUGUCAUCCGUUCUCAUCCCUAGAGGGCCUUUCAUAUCAAGUCAAAGUUAGAAGGAGCGCACGAUACAUUUGAGGAUGGAUAUCAACACAUGUGGAAUCAUUUCAAUUCCAGGAGAUGGUGUGAAUGUCAGUGUGGAGAGCUGUUUGUUCCUCAUGUGCAAGAUUAUCAAUGGGAACCAGUUUUGGUGCAGUGUGCCUUUUCCCGCCCCGGGUCAACACCGAUCAGAGUAAUAGUAGAGGA